GGUGGAUUAGUGGCGACGGGUGAGUAACACGUGAGUAACCUGCCCUUAACUCUGGGAUAAGCCUGGGAAACUGGGUCUAAUACCGGAUAGGAGCGUCCACCGCAUGGUGGGUGUUGGAAAGAUUUAUCGGUUUUGGAUGGACUCGCGGCCUAUCAGCUUGUUGGUGAGGUAAUGGCUCACCAAGGCGACGACGGGUAGCCGGCCUGAGAGGGUGACCGGCCACACUGGGACUGAGACACGGCCCAGACUCCUACGGGAGGCAGCAGUGGGGAAUAUUGCACAAUGGGCGCAAGCCUGAUGCAGCGACGCCGCGUGAGGGAUGACGGCCUUCGGGUUGUAAACCUCUUUCAGUAGGGAAGAAGCGAAAGUGACGGUACCUGCAGAAGAAGCACCGGCUAACUACGUGCCAGCAGCCGCGGUAAUACGUAGGGUGCGAGCGUUAUCCGGAAUUAUUGGGCGUAAAGAGCUCGUAGGCGGUUUGUCGCGUCUGUCGUGAAAGUCCGGGGCUUAACCCCGGAUCUGCGGUGGGUACGGGCAGACUAGAGUGCAGUAGGGGAGACUGGAAUUCCUGGUGUAGCGGUGGAAUGCGCAGAUAUCAGGAGGAACACCGAUGGCGAAGGCAGGUCUCUGGGCUGUAACUGACGCUGAGGAGCGAAAGCAUGGGGAGCGAACAGGAUUAGAUACCCUGGUAGUCCAUGCCGUAAACGUUGGGCACUAGGUGUGGGGACCAUUCCACGGUUUCCGCGCCGCAGCUAACGCAUUAAGUGCCCCGCCUGGGGAGUACGGCCGCAAGGCUAAAACUCAAAGGAAUUGACGGGGGCCCGCACAAGCGGCGGAGCAUGCGGAUUAAUUCGAUGCAACGCGAAGAACCUUACCAAGGCUUGACAUGUUCUCGAUCGCCGUAGAGAUACGGUUUCCCCUUUGGGGCGGGUUCACAGGUGGUGCAUGGUUGUCGUCAGCUCGUGUCGUGAGAUGUUGGGUUAAGUCCCGCAACGAGCGCAACCCUCGUUCCAUGUUGCCAGCACGUAGUGGUGGGGACUCAUGGGAGACUGCCGGGGUCAACUCGGAGGAAGGUGAGGACGACGUCAAAUCAUCAUGCCCCUUAUGUCUUGGGCUUCACGCAUGCUACAAUGGCCGGUACAAUGGGUUGCGAUACUGUGAGGUGGAGCUAAUCCCAAAAAGCCGGUCUCAGUUCGGAUUGGGGUCUGCAACUCGACCCCAUGAAGUCGGAGUCGCUAGUAAUCGC
Molecule: ribosomal RNA, 1246 nt
Filed under: Micrococcus luteus
Lineage: Bacteria; Bacillati; Actinomycetota; Actinomycetes; Micrococcales; Micrococcaceae
Description: bacterial SSU rRNA
Rfam family: Bacterial small subunit ribosomal RNA
Source: RNAcentral